GGACGCCGAGUUCCCAGGGGGCUAAAAACGGUCUGGGAUGGGGGUGGCCAUCUCUCCUCCCUCUCAUCGUGUUGAAGGAGCUGGGGCCAAAGGUCAGGAUGACUUGGAAGGCAGGGAAGCAGAGUGAAGACAUGGAAGAUUGAAGAACUCUGGACAUAGCCUGGGGCUUCCACCUCAGAGUAUCAGGUGAGAAUCUUGUCCUCAGAAGACUGUGGGAAAGGGUCUAUUGUAGCCCAUUUUACAGAUAAAGAAACUGAGAUGCUCCCAAGUUCAGACACAGACCCCAGAAGAGCACAGACUUGGCCAGGAGAUUCCAGACAAGAAAGUGGCUGAAAGAAUCCUCGUGCCGGAAAUCCUGACAGCUGCCUGGCUAAAAGGUCCUGGGCACUGGGCCCUGACCCAGGCCAGGAGGAGGCCAUGUCAGGUGUCCAGAGAAGUUGGGGGAGGUGAUAGCUG
RNAcentral lists this long non-coding RNA (456 nucleotides) under Cricetulus griseus (Chinese hamster). Its description in RNAcentral is "lncRNA (ENSCGRG00015034464.1)". The record is from RNAcentral. Lineage: Eukaryota; Metazoa; Chordata; Mammalia; Rodentia; Cricetidae.